AUUGAACGCUGGCGGCAGGCCUAACACAUGCAAGUCGAGCGAGCGGCGGACGGGUGAGUAAUGUCUGGGAAACUGCCUGAUGGAGGGGGAUCACUACUGGAAACGGUAGCUAAUACCGCAUACCAUCAGAUGUGCCCAGAUGGGAUGAGCUAGUCGGUGGGGUAACGGCUCACCUAGGCGACGAUCCCUAGCUGGUCUGCGAGGAUGACCAGCCAAACGGGAACUGAGACACUGUCCAGACGCCUACGGGAGGCAGCAGUGGGGAAUAUUGCACAAUGGGCGAAAGCCUGAUGCAGCCAGGCCGCGUGGGUGAAGAAGGCCUGCGGGUUGUAAAGCACUUUCAGCGGGGAGGCGUUAACCGCAGAAGAAGCACCGGCUAACUCCGUGCCAGCAGCCGCGGUAAUAC
Molecule: ribosomal RNA, 406 nt
Filed under: uncultured bacterium
Lineage: Bacteria
Description: partial 16S ribosomal RNA
Rfam family: Bacterial small subunit ribosomal RNA
Source: RNAcentral